UACGGAGGAUGCAAGCGUUAUCCGGAAUGAUUGGGCGUAAAGCGUCCGCAGGCGGCACUUCAAGUCUGCUGUUAAAUCCUAGGGCUCAACCCUGGAGCGGCAGUGGAAACUGAAGAGCUAGAGUUCGGUAGAGGUGGAGGGAAUUCCCAGUGUAGCGGUGAAAUGCGUAGAGAUUGGGAAGAACACCGGUGGCGAAAGCGCUCUGCUAGGCCGAAACUGACACUCAUGGACGAAAGCUAGGGGAGCGAAUGGG
RNAcentral lists this ribosomal RNA (253 nucleotides) under uncultured bacterium. Its description in RNAcentral is "partial 16S ribosomal RNA". It matches the Rfam family "Bacterial small subunit ribosomal RNA", at positions 524 to 776 of the family's 1533-position model. The record is from RNAcentral.